UACGUAGGGUGCAAGCGUUGUCCGGAUUAUUGGUGCGUAAAGAGCGUGUAGGCGGUCAGGUAGGUCCGUUGUGAAAACUCGAGGCUCAACCUCGAGACGCCGAUGGAAACCAUCUGACUAGAGUCCGGAAGAGGAGAGUGGAAUUCCUGGUGUAGCGGUGGAAUGCGCAGAUAUCAGGAGGAACACCGGUGGCGAAGGCGGGUCUCUGGGCAGUAACUGACGCUGAGGAGCGAAAGCGUGGGGAGCGAACAGG
Molecule: ribosomal RNA, 253 nt
Filed under: uncultured bacterium
Lineage: Bacteria
Description: partial 16S ribosomal RNA
Rfam family: Bacterial small subunit ribosomal RNA
Source: RNAcentral